RNAcentral lists this ribosomal RNA (377 nucleotides) under uncultured eukaryote. RNAcentral's name for it is "partial 18S ribosomal RNA". It matches the Rfam family "Eukaryotic small subunit ribosomal RNA", at positions 592 to 976 of the family's 1831-position model. The record is from RNAcentral.
CAAUAGCGUAUAUUUAAGUUGCUGCAGUUAAAAAGCUCGUAGUUGGAUUUCGGGUGGGAAUGGCCGGUCCGCCGUUUCGGUGUGCACUUGCUACGCCCACCUUGCUGCCGGGGACGUGCUCUUGAGUUCACGCUCGGGACACGGAGUCGGCGAGGUUACUUUGAGUAAAUUAGAGUGUUCAAAGCAGGCCUACGCUCUGAAUACAUUAGCAUGGAAUAACAUGAUAGGACUCUGGCCUAUCUUGUUGGUCUGUAGGACCGGAGUAAUGAUUAAGAGGGACAGUCGGGGGCAUUCGUAUUUCAUUGUCAGAGGUGAAAUUCUUGGAUUUAUGAAAGACGAACUACUGCGAAAGCAUUUGCCAAGGAUGUUUUCAUUAA